GGGGAAUCCACUGUAAGCUCUCAGAUGAGACAAAGAACAAGAGCCUCAACGGGAACCCCAGUCUCCCCAGCAGCACCUGCGUUCCUUGCUGGUUUGAUUUCAUGCUGAAAAAGGUGACCAUCCAGCCUUCAGGCAUUAGUCAGUUCAUACUAAUUACAGCAGGAACCCAGGCAACUGAAAUCCAGAAAGAGGAAAGGACUCUUCCAAGGUCACUCCUGUUUUUGGAGCAGGCCCAACCCAUUUUGGCAUUUCUUGGGCCUGGGGCUAACCUUACAGGGCAUCCUACGUCAGGUGAGGAAGGGGAACCUGAUCCAGCCAGCAAAGGCCCGUGCAUGGCCAGGAUUGGCCAACUGCAAAGAAACAGCUCCUCCUCCUCAAAUAAUUAAGUAAUAACUUUCUAUCAGGAAAGAAAGAGUCACAUAUCGACCAUGUGGCAGCAGCUACCAGCAUUCCAAAUCAGAAUCCUCUCCCUUCACUACAACAGAGCUGGAGCCAGGCUGCCCUCAGGAAGCGAUGGCAGGAGGGGACUGAGAAUUAGCCCUGUCCUGGUGAGGAAGUGCAGGGCUGGUGCCUAGUACAGCACUUGGCCUCCACUGGGGCCCAGCCAGUGUUUGCUGGGUGAGGAAAACAUCAAUUCAUUCUAGUGUGAGAUUGGAGAGCCAAGCCCCCUUAAGGCCAGCCACAAAAGAUGCCUCUGUUCAGGUGUAACCAAGACAGUGAAUAAAUCACAGGAAAGUGGACAGUCUCAUGCCCACAUGCAUCGGUGGGAAACAAAACACUCAGGAUCCUGAUGAUAUGAGCCAGGGUGCAGGCCCAGGCUAGGGGAGCAGGGACAAACAGGAGGAGCUAGGGAGAGGAAAAGAGGAGAGAGAAAGGGAGGGGGUAGUGGAAAGGGGGCAAUGGGCAGAAGGAUGUCAAGAGAGAAGACCUUACCUCCAGCCCCAGAGGCAGCUGCCUGCCUUCUUUUUGAGUUGCUUUGCCGUGAUUAGCACUCAGGACACAGAGACGGAGUAUUCUCACUGCCUGGGAGCCUUGGACAUACACUUGAUAUAGUCCUCAAUGCAGAAAAUACUGCAACCUUGACAACAGCAGCAGCACAUUAGCUUGACAAAUGCAAUCCUGCCAGUAGCCAAGAUCUCUACAGUUCUUCCAGGCACUGGGAGUCCAGGACAGGAACUGGAUUUAACCUGCACAGUGUAGUUAUUUCACUGGGAACCCAGAUCAGGGCUGGGGCCCCAGCCAACACACUUGGAUAUUUGGCCUGCAGCGGGCUGGAUGGUGACGCACUAAAGCAUUCCUUUGCCUCUACACACUCCAGAUAAAUGAACCUCAGGGUUUCAUGAGUUCUCAAGAACCAGCAGAAACCAGGCUCUGUCUUCUUGCUAUGACCCGGGGUCCUUAUGUGCUGGGAACAAGAGGAAGUCAAUGGGUUUGGGCAGGGGCUGCCUGGGGAAGAUCUCAGCCACCCCGCAGGCUUAUAUAGAGUCCUACUUCCAAGCUACCCUUUGGGAGGAAGAGUACUUGAUAGAUAUUGCCUUUAACCCAAUGCAUGGGCCAGAGCAACUUGGGGCUCAGAAAAGUACUUAAGGUGGUCAACUUAUACGCAUCAUGCACAGAGCUUCCUUACGGAACACACACGAAGAGGCUUUCAGAUCAUCGCACUGACAAACUCAAGAUGCUGAAUCUGGGUUGUUUACCAAAACUGAGUACAAGUUAUAUCCUCAGGCUCGCUUCUCAACUUCCCUCCCUCAGGAGCAGCCACACCACAAGACACUGUG
Homo sapiens (human) is the source of this 1778-nucleotide long non-coding RNA. The record is from Ensembl. Lineage: Eukaryota; Metazoa; Chordata; Mammalia; Primates; Hominidae.